This 495-nucleotide ribosomal RNA is filed under the name uncultured bacterium. RNAcentral describes it as "partial 16S ribosomal RNA". It matches the Rfam family "Bacterial small subunit ribosomal RNA", at positions 30 to 507 of the family's 1533-position model. The record is from RNAcentral.
UGACCGCUGGCGGCGUGCCUAAUACAUGCACGUCGAGCGAACAGAUGAGGAGCUUGCUCCUCUGCCGUUAGCGGCGGACGGGUGAGUAACACGUGGAUAACCUACCUAUAAGACUGGGAUAACUUCGGGAAACCGGAGCUAAUACCGGAUAAUAUAUUGAACCGCAUGGUUCAAUAGUGAAAGACGGUUUUGCUGUCACUUAUAGAUGGAUCCGCGCCGCAUUAGCUAGUUGGUAAGGUAACGGCUUACCAAGGCAACGAUGCGUAGCCGACCUGAGAGGGUGAUCGGCCACACUGGAACUGAGACACGGUCCAGACUCCUACGGGAGGCAGCAGUAGGGAAUCUUCCGCAAUGGGCGAAAGCUUGACGGAGCAACGCCGCGUGAGUGAUGAAGGUCUUCGGAUCGUAAAACUCUGUUAUUAGGGAAGAACAAAUGUGUAAGUAACUAUGCACGUCUUGACGGUACCUAAUCAGAAAGCCACGGCUAACUACGUG